GAGGGUACAGCUCAGUGGUAGAGCAUUUGCUUACCAUGCACGAGCUCUUGGGUUCAAUACCCAGUACAUCCA
RNAcentral lists this transfer RNA (72 nucleotides) under Camelus ferus (Wild Bactrian camel). It matches the Rfam family "tRNA". Rfam says of the family: Transfer RNA (tRNA) molecules are approximately 80 nucleotides in length. Their secondary structure includes four short double-helical elements and three loops (D, anti-codon, and T loops). The record is from Rfam by way of RNAcentral. Lineage: Eukaryota; Metazoa; Chordata; Mammalia; Artiodactyla; Camelidae.